This 10687-nucleotide long non-coding RNA is filed under the name Gallus gallus (chicken). RNAcentral describes it as "lncRNA (ENSGALG00010016408.1)". The record is from RNAcentral. Lineage: Eukaryota; Metazoa; Chordata; Aves; Galliformes; Phasianidae.
UGCUUCAUGUUUUAAAUUAAAAAUGGCAAGCUUAUUAAUCACUGAGAAAGUCUACAAAAUUACUCAUUUUGAAAUAUUAGCAUUGCAAACCUUUUCCCAUCAGUAUAUAAAGCAAACACUUCACAAUGACAUUUUGUUGCCAGAUUCUGGGUUUUGAUUAAGGCAGGCUUAUGAGCUGUGUUUGGUUUUUUUUUUUUUUUCCCCCACCAAACAUAUUUGUAACUCAUUGUAACAUAUACAAAAGAGUAAUUCUCUUUUGCAUAUGGCUAUGCUUUAGAUUUCAUGUUUAAGUUAAAUAUUAAAUAAAAACAGCUUCUUUUGUUGCAAUAGAAUAUCAAAAACACAUGUAACAUUUUUUAUUAAAAAUUCACUUGUUUUACAACUUGAAAAUUACUUUUAUGUCAGAUUUGAGUGGACUAGCUUGAUUUACAGCCAUUACUUGGAAACUAGCAUUCACUGUUUUAAAAGAAAAUCUGAAGUUUAUGCCUAUGCAGUACUGAAGGCAAGGAGAAGAUAGAUGUACUAUUUCAUUAAUUUAAACUUCUUAAUUCAUCUGAUUGUUGAUUGCUUCUUUUUUUUUUAAAUGUUUUUCCUGUAUAUUUUUUCUUUUUUUUAACAAAUGUACAUAACUAAUAGAAAACAUUUGUGAAAUAUGCCCAUUAUACUCUCUAAAUUGUUCCUGCAUGCAAUUCCUUUUUCAUUCAUGCAUUUGUUCAGGUUUUCUUAUCCUUAAAAUCAAAACCAUCUACUCUGCCUGAUACUGAUCCCUUUCAGGCCUGCUCUACUGGAGUUAAGAGCACUGAAAAUGUGUUUCAGGUUUCAUGCACAGCAGUGAGCAGCACUACAGGCAUGCUCUGCCCUAAGCUCAGGUCACAUGAAGGCUAUCAUAGUCCAGGGCAAAAAAACAAGCUGCCUUCUGUAAACCUUCCUUUAGUGUUGAACGUUGGAUGGUUGGAAAACACAUUUUGGGCUCGACUAGAAAGACUUCGGGUCUCUGAUCAAGAAGGAGAUGUGGGAGGUAGGACAGGCAUUAUGGAAGAGAGUUUUCUUUUUAAUUUGUAGCAUAAAGUCUGACUAAUGAAAGAAGGCACCCUUAGCUGAAAUCUUAUCUUAUGGAAGUGUGAACAACUUCCUUCCCUUGCCCGGUCUUUCCUCUCAUUACCAGACUACAGACUACUAUCCUCUCAUUUCUACUGCACCUCUUUCUACUCAUCCCUCACGUCUCCCAAGUCAUAGCUACAGGUGAGCUGAUCUCAACUGGAAAACCAGUGUAAGGCACUUUUCUUAUGGGGGAAUUUGAAGAUCAUGAGUCUAGGUGUUUUCUUAAGCGAAUAUAGCAGGCCCCAGUCCUAGGGAGAUAAGGAAUACUAAACAGCUCAUACAGUUAAUAUCAAUAUGCAUUACAAAACCUCUGAGCAAUCUGGUCUAACUAAAACUCUCCUCCUGUAAGCAAGUAAAUAUGCUGAAACAUAAGUAUUUGGUUAUAUUUCCUUUAUUUCACAUUUGAGAUACGCUAGCAGCUUGUGGAUAAUGCAGUGCUAGAUGGACUUGGUUUGGGUACUGGAAACUGUGGUUCUCUGCCUCACUGUGCGGAGCAGGCUUGAUAGAUACUUGGGCUGUACAGUAUAAAUGACAGAACAUUAGUGUUCAUUCUUGCACAUUCCAAAUGCUAUUUCUAAGAAAAACUGUACAUUGAAAGUUUAUAUAAGAUGGAGAAUGUGACAUUUUAAUGCCAGCCCCAAAUGCUUUACUAUUUAUAACAUAAAAGCAGCAUAUAUGUAUAUUAUAAAGGCCUCAAGCUUAGCUCUGAUCACUUAUCAGUUUACACAAGUAUAGUAUUUACAUAAUUAGCUAUAUGCAUAUUUCAAAGAAAAUCACCCAGUGCUUACAAUGAAUCAUCUUUCUGCUGAAUUUCCCAGACAGAAACUAUGUUUGAAUUAGACAUUUUUAAAUAUACCUAGCUAAUAUUUUAAAUGAUACUUUCAAAAUCAGUUUAAUCACUAAGUUAAAUAGGAUACUUGUUUUUAACUUGACAGAAAAUUUAUACCAUUUUGGAAGAUUAAAUUCUCAAAUUUCUGAAGGGAUGUUGUGACUAAAAUUCCCAUUCCAAGUUGCAAAAUUUAACUCAGACUUUCCUCUAAAACUGUCCAUAAUACUGCAUAAAAUCUGAUUUUCUGUUAGUUUGUUUUAUAAGUUAGGAAGUCAGUGGUUUUUCCUAGAACUGUUUGAAAAAUUGAUCUAAUCAAGUCCCGAUUUAUGUAUUUUUUUUCCACAGCUGAAGCUGUGUAUUAAGAUGGCUUGUGAAAUAUUUUUAAGCAACCUUUGCUUCUAAGUAGAAAAUACCUGUGAAACGACCAGUUGAGGAAGACACAGAGAUACAAAUGAUACAAAAUUAGAAAGGAGAAAGAUAAAUCAUCUGAGGAAUUAUAAGUAAACAAAAUUACAGUUGAAAUCCCCAUCUGUAAAAUCACUGUUUUUUUUUCUUUUUUUUUUUUUUACUGUCUCACACAGGGGGAAAAAAAAAAAAAGCAGCAAAUGUGAGACACCUGUGCCAGCAGAGGGUGAUUUUCUUGAUCACUAAACCAACCUUUCCCUCCCUUCUUGUUCUACCUGCUGUUCAAUUGAAGAUGGGAAGGGGAGAAAAUGUUGCAGUAAAUGAGAUAGAAGGGGAACAUCAUUUAUACAAUAUUUAGAAACACAUACAUUAUUUACCUCCUCUGUUUGAAUCUUAUAUAUUUGUAUAUUAUCUUCGAAAAAGCCAUCUUGAUUUCUGUGAAUGAAAGUAGGGAAAAAUGGUAUCCUCCUAAAGAUAGCAAAAAUUUUAGCUUACUAUCCUGGGUCCUGUCAGUAGUCAGGAAAGGUCUAUAUUUCUGGGAAUGGUGGUGCCUCUUUGUCAUUUCAAUGUCCUGAAUUGACUGUCUCUUCUUUUUAUCCUGGAUUUUGACUCAAAGAAAACAUUAUGAUACCACAGCCCCGUGCUCACUGGGAUCCUCAGGAAUUAACAGGUUUCCCAAGCAUGAUGAUACUUGGACCUUCUCAUUUUUUGUUUUAUUAUAACCACAAUUUGCAAGACCUAAAACAUUUACAGAAACAGUUUAGGUCUUGGUAAAUUAGGAAAGAAUGCAGCCAGGCACAGUAUCCUUUUAGCUUGGUCCUUUAGAAGUCAAGCUGGAGUGGGACUUCUAAAUGUGUUAAAACUGACCUGUUUGUUAUUGUCUUCUCACGCAACCAAACUGCAUGUUGUACUGACAAGAGUGCACAUCUUCCUAUGAACUUCAGUGUUUAAAGUCAAGGAAGUUUAAUCCCAUCUGAUCGUGAUCUGGCUUGGCACUUUCUGGAAAUGUUUAUGUUGCUGAAUACGUACACAAAUUAAAAAGCGCAAAGACACUCCAUUCAUAAUGGUACAAACUCUUACAGUUUAUUGUUAGCCCAGUUCCUGGCUUUGUUACGGAAAACUACAUCUGUUUUUUUCCACACAGUUCCUCUUGAGAAUGGUCUAGCUUCAAGCGGAAUCCAUGUGAGCCACUUGGCUUCAGUCCCACAUUCUCUUUCAUUUAGCAUACAGCAAUAGCUUGUUAUGCCACUAAUUUGUCAUUUCUCAUUUUCCUCCAGUCAGUAUCUAGAAGUUUUUCACUGACCACAGUAAAACCCAUUAAAACUUGUCUGAAUCUGUCUGAGGCAACUAACAGGGCCAUUUGAAUCUUUGUUUUAUCCAGCAAGCCAAUCCCCCCAUUCUACAUGCUUAAAACAUCAUUCAGCCUUCUGCAUCAAUGUCUAAAAGGAUCCUCUACUCCAUCCAAAGUCUUCCUUUUUUUUUUUCUCCUCUUUCUCGCCACCAGAAAGUUCUAUGUCUCGUGGGCAACAGUUUUGUAGAUUUUGCAACAUCUCAUUAUCUUCUGGACAAAUGAAACUGCAUCAAAAGAUUCACUGGAAAUUCUUGUUUGGCUAAGUUUUCCUAGGAUAAAGGGUUUUUCUGGUUUGAAGAUUUUUGGUUAAGCAUGUUUGCUGUACUGCCCCUUUAUCCAGCCUUAGGAUGAAGCAGCAAUAUGAAGGAAGUCCUAUUCUUCUAUCCGCAGUUGAAAUUUUCAAGCAUAAUCCUCUGGUAUCAGUAUUCACGGUUCAAAGAGUUCCAUCAAACAUCACCACAAUCAGUUUUAGACAUAUGCUUUUGUCUUAGAUCUUUAAUAUUCCUCUUUAUCCUAAAGAAGGAAAAGGAAGUAACUGAUGAAAAUCAAGAUGAUUUGAGAGAUGAAUUGUUGAAUAGGGAGAGUAGUAGUUGAAUAACGGGAUGUUUUGCUGGUCUUUCUCUUCUGAAGCCUGUUCCACUUGUUGCAGCUUGUCAUCUACAUCUCUUAUUCUACUGGUUAAUGCCUACUAAGAUCAUUUUUCUCCUUAGGUGUCUUCAAAUGUGAGUGGAUCUGUAUAGCUCCAUUCACACACAUACAGACACACGGAUAAGUUGCUUGUCUGGAGUUAACCAAGAAACAAACAAUGCUGACAGUAUAAUUCAGGUUGUUUUGACUAAAAUUCAGGUUUCUACUUCUGUGUCAAUAGUUCAGAUGAAAAAAUAUAGUGAAUGUUGGAAGAAAAAAAUUCAGGUAAGGAAGUAAUCACUCUGGUACUGAGAGUUUAGGGAAUACUGAAACAAAUAGGAGGUUUGCGCUUCUUUUUGUUUUAUCUCAAACAACAGCAACAAUAAAAUCAGAGCUAUUUGGAAUCAAGGCAUUCUAUUUUUUUGUUAAUUAGAAUCUCAUUUUGUAUUUGUGUUAUUUAAUGCUUCCUAAAAUCUUUUUCAUAUGGAUUGCAAGAGUCUGGAUGAGAGAAGAGACUGAGCUGGAUCUUGAGCAUGAUUUACUACAGAGAGCUGUUUUCAAAUAAAGGCAACAUCUGAGGCAGUAUGCUGGAACAGAAGAGCACUUCAAAGGAGAUGUUCUUCAGCAGAAUCUUGGCAACAUACAGGUGCCUGAAGUUAGCUUUUAAUUCAUUAGGAAAGGACUUUGAUAACUGCCUUUAUUGUAGAUGAUACGAAUUAUUUCAUAGUGUCCACUGACUCACUUGAUGCCUUGAACAUCUGGAAUGGAUUUCUUAAUUACAUGUCAAGAUAGAAAUUGCAUUAAUACAUUUUUAAAGGAUGUUGGAGUUGGUUGCCUCAGCUUAAGGAAGACCAGAGUUUUCUAUUGAUUAAAAUGAUAUUGAUCAGACUGAAUAAGACAGUUUAGGCAUAGGUUGUUUAAGAUUUUCAGUAAUAUUUGAUACUUUUUGGGCUAAAGACUGUUAGUCCUUUUCAUAGUUAGUUUCUUCUCAUAGAAAUCUUUUCUUUCCAUGAUCAGGUCUGUGUAACAUUCUCACUUUUGUAUCAGAGAACAGUUCACUUCUGAGUCCAGGAUACAACAUGAGCAGACAUCCCUACAAAGAGAAUGACACAUGCAUUCUAAAAGCAGGUAUCUGCUAGGUAUGAGAGACUGUCCAACCCAGAGCUCAUACCAUCAAGUCCUCCACAGUCCCAUUAUUAGCAAGGGCGAAUCACCCUCCAAAUCAGGCUGUAGCAGAUGUAAUAGCUGAGAAGUGGCUUGGCAGAAUCAUAAAAUCAUGAAGUUGGAAAAGACCACUGAGAUCAGCUAGUCCAACUGUCAACCCAUCAACAGCAUGCCCACUAAACUACCUACACAAACUGUUGCUCCCUGUCUUUUCUGUGAAACAACUGCAAAUCACAUAGAAAUGCCCAUAGAAUGAUUUUAGGCUGCUAUCUCCUAGCUAGGGUAGCUGACAAAAAUUUUUCAAGGCUUACCUAUUUCUACUUUUCAUUCUCAUGGCUACAUUUAAGAUCAUAAAUGACAGUUUCAGGGAUGAAGAAGCUGCCUUACUUAAAUAAAAAUAAGAAGAAAUAAUAGAAGCCAUCCAGAGGGAAUGUGAGAAGUGAUGUUUGCUACUCAAGUAUUACUUUUGGAGGUAUAUUCGGAACAUUUUUAGAAGAAAGUGAACUGUAUAAACAAAUCUUUUUGAAUAUGUUCGUAUAUUCAAUUCCUUCAACCAGUCUCAUGUCGGGUUAUUUCACUUCCUGAAAGGGCAGUUUCUCAGCUGAGAAUGUUAUAUGCAACUAACAUUUAUGCUGGAGUUUCAGAUCAGAGCUAUGCAGAGCAGAUCAGACCUGUGGAGAACUUGUAGACAGCAGACCUUCUUUAAAAGAGAAUCUCUAGAUCUACGUUCUCUUUAGUGAGAGCAUCUAUCAGUCCUUAUGGCUCAAAUGUGAUGCACACAGUCCAUAACAUUCACACCGGUCCUUCUCACAGCUGAACAAACUUCAGUCCAUUCUGGUCCUUCUCCUCAUCAGUGUCCUCUCUUUACUUUAGUUUAUCAGGGAAAUAUAUAAAUAUUUUUCUUGGAGUAAGUUUGAGCUCUUCUAUGCUGCUACAGUUCAGAACUCUAGUUUCUGAAAAUAUAUCUGUGGCUGCUCUGGGGUGUUUGUACCUCUCCUCUGCAUCAGCAGCAGGGACAGGGCAAUGGAGGUGUCUGCACCUGAGCUGCCACACGUAUUAGCUUCAUCUUGCUGACAAAAACACUAUCUUACUACUCUAACAUGAUAGAGGUUCAAGCUAACAUUACACUACCUGAAAUGUCUCUAGCCUAUAGAAAAUACCAUGGGAGCACAGCUGGGAACAGUAACCUCUUGGCUACUAUAGCCCAAUCCAGCUGUGUUUAUGAAUCAGAAUUUGUUCUCUUUUUAUAAGACUUGCCUAUAAUUACCAUUCACAUUUUCCUUCUUGUGUUCUUUUUCUUUCUUUGUCUAUUACUUUUAUUUUCUGUGUUUAUCCACUUCUGAUAAUAACACUUUAGAACAGAGAUCAUGAAUUUUUAAUCCCAGGGAAUGCUAUACAGAUUUCAGGGUUAUAAAAACAUUGAUUUAUCCUUCUUAACUGAAUGUAUCUACUUAUUCACAGGGAUAUUGCAGUGUCAGUGAUACAGAUUAUUUCAGCUAGAAUAUCUCAAGUUAUAUUGUUACAAACACCUAAGAUACAUACUGCAUUCAUGACUGUACAAGCACUUCAAAAAACUUAGAUUAUAUAUUAUCAUAUGACUCAUGGAAGGUAGGAAAAUAGUCUUUCGCUUACUAAACCAGAAUGGAAAACUGAUAAAACUCAGUUUAUCCUGCACAUCCAAUUAAGAUUUGACAGAUUUUGUAUCUAGCCUACAGGAAGCCUCAAGUGAUCUAAGUUGGAAGUUAGGGAGAAUGCAUCUGGGCUGUAGCAAUUUUUUUAUUUUUUCAGAACUCCGAGAGAACUCAAAUCCCCUGCUAAAGCAGGUACCCUACAGUAGGUCACACAGGUCCAGAUAGGUCUUGAAAAUCUCCAUGGAAGGAAAUUCCACAUCUGUGGGCACUGUUCCAGUGUUCUGUUGCCCUUACCUUAAAUAAAUUCUUCCACAUGUUUGAAUGGAACUUCCUAAAGAACCAUUUGUAUGUAUACCCAAGAAGUGCAUCACUAUUAAUAGACCACUUUGUAUCGGUGUACAUGAGUAUCCAGGGUUUCCUCCUGAGUGAACUGAAGUGCUUGAGUAACCCCAACUUGUUAAAUCAAUAGAAGCACUGUCUGUGAAGAGAAACAGUUGAAGACAUUACAUUACUUGCUCACUGUGUGCAGUGGAGAAUCAAAGGCACAUCUGACCUUGACACUCUUUUGUGUGAGAUGAUUGGUCUAAGAUUCUAUGGACAGAUUGCCUGUUUGCAGAACUUCCUCUCUUAAAAAAAUAAAAUUAAAAAAAAAUACAUGUUACUGGUUGCAAUGUGGGGCAAGUCACAUUACCUGCUACUUCUGGAAAACAGUAUCACUGACUUUUCAAAAGCCUUUUUGAUCUCAGACCUCCCCACAAAUCACUGCACUCCUGACACCUUUCUGAUUUCAGCAAGCUCUGACAUUGUCACUUGCUACAUCUCUUACUAGCCGUAAGCCUUCGUGACAUGAACACUUAAUUUUGAUACAUAGAUUAGAUUGUAAUUCUAAUUUUCCCUUAAGCCUUCUUCAUAUCAGAAUUUUGGAAUUGCUUUCAAGAAGGGUCUUAAUAUUGCACAAUUUAUGUUACAUUCUUACCUGUUCGUAGACUUGGAAACCACAGAACUACAUGCUGCUAUGUAUUGUUGCUUCUCUUUUCAGUUUGGAACUUAAAAUCAAGAUCAGAGUAAGCUACCUGUUUUACUUUGAGUGGUAUAACCAUUUAAGUCACUUAGAAAGUAAAUUGUACUUGUGUAAAAUAGCUAUCAAACUUUUAAAAUUGCAAAUAAAUAUAUUACAUAAAAAUUAUAUCAUGCUAUCAGAGUAUUUUCAAAUGUAUUUUAAAUAAACUAUUCUAAAUGUGAUAAACUCUGAAGUUUUUAGGUCUGUACAUCAGAGAGUUUCAAAGUAAAAGGUGAUCAAAUAGGCUACAGAACAGUCGUAAAAUAGGUUAUUGGUAAUAGAAUAUAAAGAGUAUGGAAAACAAGUACAUUUCGUUAAGCAGAAAAGGUAGGUCCAUGAGUAUGGGGAAAGGAAGAGUAGAGGGGAGAAAGGAAGUCAUGAGAAAAAAUAGUAGUAUAGAGAUUAACUGAUUUAUGUGUGUUUUAUGGCAGUGGUUUGGAAUUUAGUAGGUUGUAAAAGACCAGAAGGGCAUAUGUGUAUUUUACAUGAUGCAGCAAUAUCUUUUUAGUUUCAGCAGCCUAAACAAUUCCCAUCUUCAUAUUUAGGUGGGCACAUAUGUUAAUUCAUAUCUGUUUAAGUACAUAGCAGGACUUGAGUUUUCUCCAUUGAAUGUUAAAAAUUUUCCUAUUGAUUUGAAAUAAAAAAUAACACAUUUUCUAAUAUGAUGACCCUUGUGGAAACUUUGACUGAAAAUGAUGAAAAACUAAAUAUCAUUAAAAGGUUGUCUUCAGAUUGCUCCUUACCUUACCACACACACAGUGCUUUAAACUGGAAAAUACUGUAAAGACAUUUGGGACACUAUUUCAGUGAUGUCAUUGUGAUAUUUUGUUGUAAAAUACCAUUGUUGGCAGUGGAGUGUUAUUGUCUGUGGUGCAGUAGUUAGCAAAAGAUUCUAAUUCUAAUGUGUCCAUUUGGACCAAGGUAGAAUAAGUGAAUACAACCUGUACUGUACUGUUGGUAGAGACAGAUAUAAAUAUAUAAUAUAAAAUACAAACAGUUUAUCAAAAGUAAAACAUAAAAUAUAUCUUUUGUAAUGCCUAAACAACUUUAGAUACCUAUACUUGAAGCUCUUCAGUUUGCUUUUGAAGAACAGGAAUGUCAUUUUUUGAUAGAAUGGCUUUCCCAGAAUGUCUUAAGAGCUCCAUUUGUGUUUAGUCAUGCAGAAGUGAUGAAACUGUUGUCUAGUUCAAGAGCAGAGAGUGAACAUUUACAAAAGCAAUGAGAGGCAAGAAAAAAUUAUUUGAGAAGAAACAGUGAGCCCAUUGUGGUAGUACACAAGGUAGGUAGGCAAGGGGAGGACUAGAAGAGGAAUAUUUUUAAAUAUGCCAUUUAAGAAAUACUGACUGAAUUCAGUAAACUUUCCAGUGCUUAAUUAAAAAUUGUAGAUGAUACUAUAAAUAUGGCAAUAGCACACUGACAAACACAGGUCCAUCUCAACAGUUGGUAAAGUUAUCGUAACAAUCAUUUAUGGUCCAUGAGUGGAGGGAAUCCAGGGGAGAUGAGGACCUUUCUUUAGAAAUAUAUAUGAAGACUUUUUCUUUGUGUAAAAAUAAGAAAUAUUAGAGGAUGUCAAAGUGCCAUCAUCCUCACCAUCUGAAAGAGGCAAAGAUAAAAACAGACUGCAGUAACAACUGUGUAAUGUUCUUAUUCACAGUCUGGCAAAAUCUUGGCUAUAUUUCUGUUUGACUGCUUUCCAUGCUACAUCAUCUAUUGUGUUCUGCCUGAUGCACACACACUGUGACUUCAGAACCAGCGAUGUGCACAUGAAGUGUUAUUGGGCAUCUUGUCAACAAAAAAGGACAUAGGCAACAUGUUCACAAAAGCACCCAACACUGUGAGCAGACCAAGCUAUAAGCAUGAAAUUUUUAUUACCCAAGGGAAUUUAUUGAUGUCUUGAACUUGUUCCUUUCAGCUGUGAUGCAUGUUAGGGGCUGGAAGGCACUAAAAACUCAGUAUAGCUUGUGGUAUGAAAAAAAUGAUCAUGUUGUUCAUGAAAAUGGAUGCACAGACACCUGUGAAAUUGAUAUCAGCAGCUGGAAGACUGACAGUAGAGUGGUGCAUAGCAGUUGAAAUAGGAGUAGCUAAUUUUUGGAAGCAAAGGUGAAGCUGUUAUUCAGGUGAGUCAAAAGUAUAUAAUGCAGCUGGCGGUAAUUCCAGUCUCUUUCCACUACCUCCAUAACCAGCAGAGAGAAUUCUCUCUUUAGAUUAAAUAUGAAGAAUGAUACCAUUAGCAUUAUUUCUUAGAUUAUGAAAGAUUAUGCAAGUGUGUCAAAAUCAGAAAGCAGUGAAAACGGUUGAUUGAGUCUUAUAGAGCAUUUGUUAGUAUAAGUGAAUAAUUUCUUCUAACAUGAGACUUCAAUGGAGAAAAUGUUGGGAGCAAGGGAUGAAGAAUAUUUCCAGAGAAACAAUGAAAAUGUAGGUAUUAGAGAAGCAGAUUAAGUAAUACAAGUUAUAUCACAAUAUAUUCAGAUCUAUAGUUGCAGAUGAUGGAACCCUCCCUUCCCUCCUCCUUCCCCCCC